This 490-nucleotide ribosomal RNA is filed under the name uncultured bacterium. RNAcentral describes it as "partial 16S ribosomal RNA". It matches the Rfam family "Bacterial small subunit ribosomal RNA", at positions 28 to 507 of the family's 1533-position model. The record is from RNAcentral.
GAUGAACGCUAGCGAUAGGCUUAACACAUGCAAGUCGAGGGGCAGCAUGGUCUUAGCUUGCUAAGACUGAUGGCGACCGGCGCACGGGUGCGUAACGCGUAUGCAACUUGCCUCACAGAGGGGGAUAACCCGUCGAAAGACGGACUAAUACCGCGUACACUCUAUUUUGGGCAUCCAAGGUAGAGGAAAUGAAAUUCGCUGUGAGAUAGGCAUGCGUCCCAUUAGCUAGUUGGUGAGGUAACGGCUCACCAAGGCGACGAUGGGUAGGGGAACUGAGAGGUUGAACCCCCACACUGGUACUGAGACACGGACCAGACUCCUACGGGAGGCAGCAGUGAGGAAUAUUGGUCAAUGGGCGAGAGCCUGAACCGGCCAAGUCGCGUGAAGGAUGACUGUCUUAUGGAUUGUAAACUUCUUUUGUAGGGGAAUAAAGAGGGGCACGUGUGCCCCAGUGAAUGUACCCUACGAAUAAGCAUCGGCUAACUCCGUG